Poecile atricapillus (Black-capped chickadee) is the source of this 153-nucleotide long non-coding RNA. RefSeq lists it as uncharacterized. The record is from RefSeq and is a predicted model, not a curated record. The transcript has 3 exons. NCBI's taxonomy places the organism in Eukaryota, Metazoa, Chordata, Aves, Passeriformes, Paridae.
GGGACAUUGAGGGGGACACGGAGGUGGCACCGGGGGUGACACCGGGGUGUCCCCAGGCCCGGUGCGGUUCCGGUGUCCCCCGGAGUUCGAGGCGGUGACACCGGGGGUGACACCGGGGGUGACACCGGGGGUGACACUGGUCUGGGUCUGUCC